AUGCUUCAGAUGGAGAGUUGUUUUCCCCUACUCCCUUUCUGGGCCUUUAGAAAAAAACUUCAUAAACUCACUCCCAGGUUCCCCGGGCUGGUGAGCGGGUAUGGGUGGCGGGGAGCACGUGGGUUCUUCAGUGGUGGGCUGAGGGUCUUCCCCACGCCCCCCCCCAACCCUCCCACCUGCGUCCCAGACAAGCUCCGCUCCCACCCCCGCCUUCAGUGGGCCGACCUGGCUCCCCCUCCGCUAGGCUCAGUGGACAAACCCGUAUCCUGGACCCGCCCCUGUUCAGUAUCCGCGGCGCCCUACGCUCGCCAGAUUGUGCCACCGGGCGGGGAGAAAGGGGUGCACUUCUGUACGCAGGGUGCGGAGCCGGCCGUUUUGGAGACCGCAGCUCGGCGGAGCGUUGUGGAGAGCUGUUUGGUUUCCUCCGCACCUCGGUCACGGGGCUACCGCGCUGGAGCCUGCGGCGACCUGAGCGAGUGCUGCGAGCAGCAGCGCGCUGUCUCCCCCUCGGUGGGAGCGGUGGUUGGGCCCGGCUGCGGCAGAGCGUUCGCUCGGAGAUGGCGGAGCCGCCGCGACGCGGCCCGAGGCCCCGAGAGCAGGGAACCCGGGCAGCCCCGGGACGCGGCGGAGCCCGGGGACAGCGGGGACGCCGCCCACUCCGCCGGGUAUGAAGCUAAAAUCCUUAACAGCAUGGGCUCUGGAGCUUGACAGACCUGACUUUGAAUCCGUUCCUCUACUGACUGAGCUGUGUGUUCCUGGCAAGUUACCAAACUUCUCUGAGCCUCAAGUUACUCAUGGGUAAAAUGGGAAUAUUAGUACCGACUUCAUUCCUAUCUCUUAGGGCUGGUGUGAGAAUUAAAUACAGAUGCUCCUCGAUUUCUGAUGGGGUCGCAUCCUGAUAAAUCCCUCAUAAACUGAAGACAUGCUAAAUGAAGAAUGCAUGUAAUACACCUAGCAUAUAAAGCAUGAUAAUUUAGCAACAUAGUACACUGUAGAGUGUCAGUUGAACCUGAUCAUGUGACUGACUGGGAGCCACCACUGCCUCAUAAGAAAUUCUGCCAGACUAGGAAAAGAACAAAAUUCAAAAUUUGAGAGAAUGGGGUGAUAACUCCAGGGUAGAGCACUUGCAUAGCAUGUACGAGGCCCUGAGUUCAAGCCCCAGCACCAAAACACAAAACAAUUUGAAUGCUUAUCAUUUGUGUACCAUUGUAAACUGAACCAUCCCAGGUCAGGAGUCAUCUGUAUAUGUAAAACUCUUGGAAGAAUGUUUGAUAGAUGCUAUACUAAGCUCUCAAUAAAUAUUAAUUAUUAACAUGGGUGAUAUACCCA
This 1329-nucleotide long non-coding RNA is filed under the name Castor canadensis (American beaver). RNAcentral describes it as "lncRNA (ENSCCNG00000009936.1)". The record is from RNAcentral. Lineage: Eukaryota; Metazoa; Chordata; Mammalia; Rodentia; Castoridae.